This 441-nucleotide ribosomal RNA is filed under the name uncultured soil bacterium. RNAcentral's name for it is "bacterial SSU rRNA". It matches the Rfam family "Bacterial small subunit ribosomal RNA", at positions 26 to 518 of the family's 1533-position model. The record is from RNAcentral.
AGAGCGAACGCUGGCGGCAGGCCUAAUACAUGCAAGUCGAGCGGCCCUUCGGGGCAGCGGCGGACGGGUGAGUAACGCGUGGGAAUGUGCCCUUUGGUACGGAACAACUGAGGGAAACUUCAGCUAAUACCGUAUGUGCCCUUCGGGGGAAAGAUUUAUUGCCAUUGGAGCAGCCCGCGUUGGAUUAGCUAGUUGGUGGGGUAAAGGCCCACCAAGGCGACGAUCCAUAGCUGGUCUGAGAGGAUGAUCAGCCACACUGGGACUGAGACACGGCCCAGACUCCUACGGGAGGCAGCAGUAGGGAAUCUUGCGCAAUGGGCGAAAGCCUGACGCAGCCAUGCCGCGUGAAUGAUGAAGGUCUUAGGAUUGUAAAAUUCUUUCACCGGGGAAGAUAAUGACGGUACCCGGAGAAGAAGCCCGCUAACUCGUGCCAGCAGCCGC